RNAcentral lists this ribosomal RNA (253 nucleotides) under uncultured bacterium. RNAcentral describes it as "partial 16S ribosomal RNA". It matches the Rfam family "Bacterial small subunit ribosomal RNA", at positions 524 to 776 of the family's 1533-position model. The record is from RNAcentral.
UACGUAGGGGGCAAGCGUUGUCCGGAAUCAUUGGGCGUAAAGAGCGCGUAGGCGGCCCUGUAAGUCCGCUGUGAAAGUCAAGGGCUCAACCCUUGAAUGCCGGUGGAUACUGCAGGGCUAGAGUCCGGAAGAGGCGAGUGGAAUUCCUGGUGUAGCGGUGAAAUGCGCAGAUAUCAGGAGGAACACCGAUGGCGAAGGCAGCUCGCUGGGACGGUACUGACGCUAAGGCGCGAAAGCGUGGGGAGCAAACAGG